UACAGAGGAUGCGAGCGUUGUUCGGAAUUACUGGGCGUAAAGCGCGUGUAGGCGGAUAUAUAAGUCAGGUGUGAAAUCCCUUGGCUUAACUGAGGAAGUGCAUUUGAAACUGUAUAUCUUGAGUACGAUAGAGGAGAGUGGAAUUCCCAGUGUAGAGGUGAAAUUCAUAGAUAUUGGGAAGAACACCGGUGGCGAAGGCGGCUCUCUGGAUCGAUACUGACGCUGAUACGCGAAAGCGUGGGGAGCAAACAGG
Molecule: ribosomal RNA, 253 nt
Filed under: uncultured bacterium
Lineage: Bacteria
Description: partial 16S ribosomal RNA
Rfam family: Bacterial small subunit ribosomal RNA
Source: RNAcentral